Long non-coding RNA from Mesocricetus auratus (golden hamster), 593 nucleotides. RefSeq lists it as uncharacterized. Lineage: Eukaryota; Metazoa; Chordata; Mammalia; Rodentia; Cricetidae. The transcript is spliced from 2 exons. The record is from RefSeq and is a predicted model, not a curated record.
AUUCAUGAAGUUUUACGGUGGCAGAACAAAGAAAGUCGUAAACCAAGGCACUUUAAAAAAAAUAUGGAUGGAAACACCAGAGGGGAUGUGACAAACGCCUCAGCAGAGUCGGCACCUGCACCCACUUUCUGGCAGUUUCCCCAGCGUCGCCUCUGUGUUCCGAAGAAAACCAGCAAGACAGACAAGGGUACAAGGACACAAAGUUUCAUCAAGACAGGGGCCUGAGGCAGAGUCUUGCUACGUACCCCAGGCUGGCUUACGGCUUGGAGUCCUCCAGCCUCAGCCUCCUGCAUGCUGGUAUGACAGGCCUAUGCCGCCACACCCAGAUUCAACACUACAUCUUCUUGAGAAAAAGCUAAAGACAAGGCUGGGAGGGACAUGAGAAAACAGCUUACAUUGUCCUCUCGGGACUGUGUGCCGGCCAGUCUCAGCCGUUCUCCUUUGCGUGGUGUGAAUGACAUGCCAGAAAACUGUUCAGGAGCACCCUAACUAAGAGGACAUCCCUCAAACCACUGUUCUACACUAUAGACUACACAAGUGGCUGCCCAGCUGGAAGUCCCUUUAUGAUGUCCUUAGUAAACUUUUCUUUCCUA